CAGCCCCUCGAGUGGUGGGGAUGAUUAUUUGGCCUAAAGCGUCCGUAGCCGGCCGUGUAAGUCUCCCGUUAAAUCCAGCGUCUCAAGCGUUGGACUGCGGGAGAUACUGUACGGCUAGAGAGUGGGAGAGGUCAGCGGUAUUCUGGGGGUAGGGGCGAAAUCCUUUGAUCCCCGGAGGACCACCAGUGGCGAAGGCUGCUGACUAGAACACGUCUGACGGUCAGGGACGAAAGCUGGGGUAGCGAACCGGAUUAGAUACCCGCGUAGUCC
Molecule: ribosomal RNA, 270 nt
Filed under: uncultured archaeon
Lineage: Archaea
Description: partial 16S ribosomal RNA
Rfam family: Archaeal small subunit ribosomal RNA
Source: RNAcentral